RNAcentral lists this ribosomal RNA (425 nucleotides) under uncultured bacterium. RNAcentral describes it as "bacterial SSU rRNA". It matches the Rfam family "Bacterial small subunit ribosomal RNA", at positions 355 to 775 of the family's 1533-position model. The record is from RNAcentral.
UAAGGAAUAUUGGUCAAUGGACGCAAGUCUGAACCAGCCAUGCCGCGUGAAGGAAGACGGCCCUACGGGUUGUAAACUUCUUUUGUACGGGAAAAAACCUCCGGUCGUGAACCGGAGCUGAUGGUACCGUAAGAAUAAGCAUCGGCUAACUCCGUGCCAGCAGCCGCGGUAAUACAGAGGAUGCAAGCGUUAUCCGGAUUCAUUGGGUUUAAAGGGUGCGCAGGCGGAAUGAUAAGUCAGUGGUGAAAUCCUACAGCUCAACUGUAGAACUGCCAUUGAUACUGUCGUUCUUGAGUACACUUGGAGUGGGCGAAAUGUGUCAUGUAGCGGUGAAAUGCUUAGAUAUGACACAGAACACCGAUCGCGAAGGCAGCUCACUAAAUUGUAACUGACGCUCAGGCUCGAAAGCGUUGGGGAUCAAACAG